CACGGAAGUUAAGCCCUCCAGGGCCGAUGGUACUGCGCUGGCGACGGCGCGGGAGAGUAGGUCGCUGCCGGGA
RNAcentral lists this ribosomal RNA (73 nucleotides) under Pseudomonadota bacterium. Lineage: Bacteria; Pseudomonadati; Pseudomonadota. RNAcentral also lists the same sequence under 1 other name. The record is from RNAcentral.